Non-coding RNA from Paramuricea clavata, 606 nucleotides. The record is from the annotation of a GenBank genome assembly. NCBI's taxonomy places the organism in Eukaryota, Metazoa, Cnidaria, Anthozoa, Malacalcyonacea, Plexauridae.
AAAUCCGAAAAAAAAUAUCGAGCAUGUCUCGAAUGGAAGAAAAAAAAUCGAACAUCACUAACACCAGCAAAAAAAAAUAUCGAGCACAAAAAAAUUCUAAAUUAGCAAUACUCUAUAUUGAAAGAAAAAUUCAGUUUCCCUUAGUUUUUUUUUCUGUUGAGUGUUUCGGUUCUGCCUUGGUUAACAAUACCGGAAGUAUACAUGCAAAAUACAAACCGAUACAAACCAGUUCUGACAACUUUGACUUCAAUAAUUCAAUUAUCCACAAAUUACCUUAAUGGUAUCCCUAAAAACCCCAAUCUUAACACUGAAAGUCCCACACUUCUGUAAAUUCGACAUCGAUUAAUGAGGGUGGGAAAGGGGGGGGGGGGUAUGAUUCACGUUUCACAACAAAAAAAUACCGUUUCACAAUUCACGUGCCAUAAAAAAGCAAUUUCACAUUUCACGGAUAACGAGACUCUAAUAAAAAUAAUAUAAUAAUAAUAGCUUUAAGAUUAUGUUUAAUGCAUGGUACAGUACUACGCUUUAAGUUCUCUUCUCUGCCUGGCAGUUAAAAACUACUUACAAAUUUGAGUGAUGAGUACGUCCGACGAUCUCCGAAAGGCC